RNAcentral lists this ribosomal RNA (422 nucleotides) under uncultured archaeon. Its description in RNAcentral is "partial 16S ribosomal RNA". It matches the Rfam family "Archaeal small subunit ribosomal RNA", at positions 323 to 746 of the family's 1478-position model. The record is from RNAcentral.
CUACGGGACGCAGCAGGCGAGAAAACUUUGCAAUGUGCGAAAGCACGACAAGGUUAAUCCGAGUGGUUUGUGCCAAACGAACCUUUUGACAGUCCUAGAAACACUGUUGAAUAAGGGGUGGGCAAGUUCUGGUGUCAGCCGCCGCGGUAAAACCAGCACCUCAAGUGGUCAGGAUGAUUAUUGGGCCUAAAGCAUCCGUAGCCGGCUCUGUAAGUUUUCGGUUAAAUCUGUACGCUCAACGUACAGGCUGCCGGGAAUACUGCAGAGCUAGGGAGUGGGAGAGGUAGACGGUACUCGGUAGGAAGGGGUAAAAUCCUUUGAUCUAUUGAUGACCACCUGUGGCGAAGGCGGUCUACCAGAACACGUCCGACGGUGAGGGAUGAAAGCUGGGGGAGCAAACCGGAUUAGAUACCCUCGUAGUC